Molecule: ribosomal RNA, 207 nt
Filed under: uncultured bacterium
Lineage: Bacteria
Description: partial 16S ribosomal RNA
Rfam family: Bacterial small subunit ribosomal RNA
Source: RNAcentral
UGCGUAGGCGGUUUACUAAGUCAGAUGUGAAAGCCCCGGGCUUAACCUGGGAACUGCAUUUGAUACUGGUAGGCUAGAGUAUGAUAGAGGGGGGUAGAAUUCCUGGUGUAGCGGUGAAAUGCGUAGAUACCAGGAGGAAUACCAGUGGCGAAGGCGGCCCCCUGGAUCAAUACUGACGCUGAGGUACGAAAGCGUGGGUAGCGAACA